Molecule: RNA transcript, 2515 nt
Organism: Piliocolobus tephrosceles (Ugandan red Colobus)
Lineage: Eukaryota; Metazoa; Chordata; Mammalia; Primates; Cercopithecidae
Gene name: adenylate kinase 4, mitochondrial pseudogene
Exons: 1
Source: RefSeq, a predicted model, not a curated record
UGAAGCACUUGAACCUGGGAAGCAGAGGUUGCAGUGAGCCGAGAUGGCACCUCUGCACUCUAGCUUGGGCAACACAGCAAGACUUUUGUCUAAAAAGAUUUUAAAAAACAGAAAGUCCAGGCUGAAAACUAAAACUAGUUCUCUGAAAAAAUAUCUCCAGCAAACCUAAAGUAUAGUCUACGGAUGUAUUUGUCUGGUGAUCUAAUUUAGUACAGUGAUAUAACUUAGAGAAUGUAUAAUGUAAAUAUAUUUCAUCAAUUCAUAGGUGAGGGCUAGAUGGAAGUCUCCUUGGAGAACUGGAAAUAGAGGUGUGGGGUGGUGGUGAUGAGAACCCACGCAUUUGACCUACGGAGCAUGCUCAGAUCGAGGCCCAUCGUGCUUUCACAGUCAACUGUGGGGAUAGGGUGGGUAGCAUCAGGAGUUUUCUCAUGGAGUAGUACUGGAUCUACUUGGGUUCACACCACAGAUCAGGAAGGUAACAACUUUUCUCGCAAGCAUCGCUAGAAAGAUCUGGUCACCAUCGUCUCACCACAGGUGUUAGUAUAAAAUAAGCACACUUCCUGCUGCUACCACCGUACCUAUCUAGAGAAGGAGACAGCUCCAGUAAGAAAAAGUGAGACUUACAGUGUGCCCCACGGUACUUUGUCCUUCUUGUUUGUAAUUAUAGAAUAUUAUAAUGAUUGCAUUCAGUCUUCCCAUGUAAAUUGAAAGCCAUCGGAGCAUUUUCUUGACUUUUUUAUAGAAUUGGUACAGUGACUUAAGUUCUACUCAUCAUGUAAUGAGUAAUGAGUGCUUUUAGAAUGAAUACAAAUGUAAUUUUUAGGAAGUUCAGGAAAAAAUCUUACCAAGAAUAUCCAAGGGGGGCUGGCAAGUCCCAGUGCGAGUGGAGGGUGCCAGAGGUAGGGGGCCGAGAAACAAAGUUCCCAGGGCUCCCUCCAGGGCCGUGGUCAGGGCUGCGCGUUUGGCCGCCCCCCUCCUCGCGAAGACAAUGGCUUCCAAACGCCUGCGCGCAGUCAUCCUCGGGCUGCCCGGCUGGGGCAAGGGCACCGUGUGCCAGAGGAUCGCCCAGAACUUUGGCCUCCAGCAUCUCUCCAGCGGCCACUUCUUGGGGGAGAACAUCAAAGCCAACACCGAAGUUGGUGAGACGGCACAGCAGUAUAUAGAGAAAAGUCUUUUGGUUCCAGACCAUGUGAUCACACGCCUAAUGAUGUCGGAGUUGGAGAAUAGGCGUGGCCAGCACUGGCUCCUUGAUGGUUUUCCUAGGACAUUAGGACAAGCCGAAGCCCUGGACAAAAUCUGUGAAGUGGAUCUAGUGAUCAGUUUGAACAUUCCAUUUGAAACACUUAAAGAUCGUCUCAGCCGCUGUUGAAUUCACCCUCCUAGUGGAAGGGUAUAUAACCUGGACUUCAAUCCACCUCAUGUACAUGGUAUUGAUGAUGUCACCGGUGAGCCAUUAGUCCAGCAGGAGGAUGAUAAACCUGAAGCAGUUGCUGCCAGGCUAAGACAGUACAAAGACGUGGCGAAGCCAGUCAUUGACUUAUACAAGAGCCGAGGGGUGCUCCACCAAUUUUCCGGGACGGAGACGAACAAAAUCUGGCCCUACAUUUACACACUUUUCUCGAACAAGAUCACACCUAUUCAGUCCAAAAGAAGCAUAUUGACCCUGCCCAAUGGAAGAACCAGAAAGAUGUGGUCAUUCAUUCAAUUGUGUGUGUAGUAUUGGUGCUGUGUCCAAAUUAGAAGCUAGCUGAGGUAGCUUACAGCAUCUUUUCUAGUUGAAAUGGUGAACUGAUAGGAAAACAAAUGAGUAGAAAGAGUUCACAAGAGGCCUUCCUCUGCCUUUCAAAAGGAAAGUCACCUACACAUGUUUAAGGUGUCUCUGCACAUGUCUCAAGCCCUUCACAAGAAAGCAAGUACAGUGUGGAUUUCAAAUGGUAUGUAACCUCAGCUCCAGCUGGUUUUUGACAGCCUGGUCUUGAGUGAGUGUGUCCACAGUUCAUUUUUUUCCGGUGAGAAUAACUCCUUUUCUAUAUCCACACUCCAUAAAGUCUCUCCUUUUCAGACAUCCUGGGAUGAAAGAAUUUGGCUGUUUUUUUUUUUUUUUUUUUGACAUCUGUUUUCUCUUUUAGGCUGUUAAACAAAACUGAUAGUUAUUGCUCUUAUCCCUCUCAAAUUCUUCUAAGAACUGAGAGUGAUGGGGCUGUAUUGAAUUUCUGUAUGCACCGGAAACUGAGCCAUGAAGAGGAUCUUAUUAAACUGCUGGUCUGACUCUCAUGGAUUGACACUGUUCCUUUCUUUUAUUGUGAAAAAAAAAUAACCCCCUAAAAGUCUUGGGAACCCCCUAAAGUCUUUUGGAAAUCCUCAAAAAGCAUGGGAAGUAUAAGUAUUUAGCUACAUAAAUGUUGUAAGAUCAUAUCUUAUGUAUAGAAGUAAUAAGACUAUUUGGAAUUACUAGACUAAUUGAAUAGUUAACGGUUUCUAUUCAGUACAACAAAAUGUAUUUUGAAAAUGCUGC